This 171-nucleotide small RNA is filed under the name Arabidopsis thaliana (thale cress). RNAcentral's name for it is "ATSL126910". Lineage: Eukaryota; Viridiplantae; Streptophyta; Magnoliopsida; Brassicales; Brassicaceae. The record is from RNAcentral.
UUACAGAAAAAGAAUAAUGAAAUAAAAUAGAUUUGGAUAUUAAACUUACAUGAGCAUCAGAACCAUCUCUGAGUGCAGAAUCUCCUCUCCAUAUAACUCUUUGGUCCAAAGGCAAUUUUCCGGAGCGUUGAGCUUCGAAAUACAAAAGACUCUUCGUAAGAGCUUCUCCAU